Numida meleagris (helmeted guineafowl) is the source of this 583-nucleotide long non-coding RNA. RefSeq lists it as uncharacterized. The record is from RefSeq and is a predicted model, not a curated record. NCBI's taxonomy places the organism in Eukaryota, Metazoa, Chordata, Aves, Galliformes, Numididae. The transcript is spliced from 3 exons.
UGUGGGUAGGGAGAGGGUACUGGGAAGAGCUUGGAGCUGGAGGAUGCAGGUGGGGAGCGGAGGAGGUGGACCAGCUGGAUGGAUGACAGGCCUCCCUGGAGUCGGGCGGUGCAUGCAGAAGGACGAAGUCAAUAAAAUUGUACUGGUUCUGAUCUCUUCCUGGGGCUGGGACGUGUCCCUGGGGGCCUUCCCCAUGACCCCCCUGCAGCUUGUAUCUCCAUGCUGAAUGAGCAAAUAAAGGUGUUUCAGACCCCUCGCCUCCUGCGGGCUCUCACAUCUGAGAUUUCAUGGAGGCAGCUCCAUGGGAGGGCUGUUUGGGCUCAAAUCCCAGGGUGGUUAUUUAUAAAGCCAAAAAGCAAACACAUCUCUAGAGCAGCUCAGUUUGCUCUGUGCGUGACCCACGGCAUGGCUGGGGGGCAGCCAGUGGAGCUGCUCUGGAGAUGGACUUCCAUGGGAAGCUGUGGUGGGAAGUGCUGGGAAGCAUGGUGUGUGAAGUCCUCCCUCCGAGUCCUGCUGGCUUCCUUGUGAGGUGCUGCUCAGCAUGUUGGUGUUAGGACGGCGUUGCUAUCAUACUCCUAUCUUA